GACGAACCGUACGAACGUUAUUCGGAAUCACUGGGCUUAAAGGGUGCGUAGGCGGCGCGACAAGUUGGGUGUGAAAUCCCUCGGCUCAACCGAGGAACUGCGCCCAAAACUGUCGUGCUCGAGGGAGACAGAGGUGAGCGGAACUUCCGGUGGAGCGGUGAAAUGCGUUGAUAUCGGAAGGAACGCCGGUGGCGAAAGCGGUCUGCUGGCCCUCUACUGACGCUGAGGCGCGAAAGCCAGGGGAGCAAACGGG
This 253-nucleotide ribosomal RNA is filed under the name uncultured bacterium. Its description in RNAcentral is "partial 16S ribosomal RNA". It matches the Rfam family "Bacterial small subunit ribosomal RNA", at positions 524 to 776 of the family's 1533-position model. The record is from RNAcentral.